This 1208-nucleotide unclassified non-coding RNA is filed under the name Hevea brasiliensis (rubber tree). Lineage: Eukaryota; Viridiplantae; Streptophyta; Magnoliopsida; Malpighiales; Euphorbiaceae. The record is from RNAcentral.
CAAAGUCAGUAGCUGCAUAUGUGAAUACUGCUUAGCGCAGCAUCUCCCUCUAUCUCUCUUACUCUGCUUCAAGCCCUAGAAAUCCCAGAAUCACAUCAUUAUCGAUCGGUUGCAGCUUUUUUAAAAUGAGUACUACCAAUACUUCGCCUCCACCAGAAGAUGCAUGGGUUCUUGCUUACCAAAAAUUGCUUCCUCAAUGGCGAUCGGUCACCCUCUCAUCUCACCAGUCAAGAAUACCAAUUUCAGUAUCUAGAGUUAAUCAAUUUGAUGCUGCAAGAUUAGACAUUGAAAUGUCAGCAAUGCUAAAAGAGCAAUUGGUCAAGGUCUUCUCUCUAAUGAAGCCAGGAAUGUUAUUUCAAUAUGAGCCAGAACUUGAUGCUUUCCUUGAGUUUCUUAUUUGGAGAUUCUCUAUUUGGGUAGAUAAGCCUACUCCAGGAAAUGCUCUGAUGAAUCUGAGGUAUAGAGAUGAUCAUGCAGUGGUACCACGAGAAAAAGUCAGAACAGGUUUGGAAGGACCUGGACUUACUAUGGCUCAGAAACUUUGGUAUUGCAUUGCCACUGUUGGUGGUCAGUAUAUCUGGGCUCGCUUGCAGACAUUCUCUGCUUUUCGUAGAUGGGGUGAUUCUGAACAGAGGCCACUAGCACGGCGAGCAUGGAUUUUGAUACAACGUAUUGAGGGACUUUAUAAGGCUGCUUCAUUUGGCAACCUACUCAUAUUUCUUUUCACAGGAAGGUUUAGGAACCUUGUUGAAAGAGUCUUAAGAGCAAGGCUUGUCUACGGACACCCUAACAUGAACCGAGCUGUUAGCUUUGAGUACAUGAAUCGCCAAUUAGUGUGGAAUGAAUUUUCGGAGAUGCUGUUGUUGCUUCUUCCUCUUCUUAACUCAUCAUCCAUAAAAAACUUACUUAGUCCAUUUUCGAAGGACAAAUCCUCUAGUUCUGCAGGAGAUGAUGGUACUUGUCCUGUUUGCCAGGCAAUUCCAACCAUUCCAUUCCUCGCCCUGCCCUGUCAACACAGGUACUGCUACUACUGCCUUAGAACACGAUGUGCUGCAUCUUCAUCAUUUCGGUGUCCUAGUUGCAGUGAACCAGUGGUAGCUAUGCAGCGGCAUGGUUUUUCAGCCAGUGAUACAAAUCCUAGUUAAGAACUGAUAAGCUCAAUAUAAAGUACUGUAAGAGAAAAAAAAAAAAGAAAAGAAAAGUAGUGC